CAUGUAGGCGGUUAUGCAAGCUUGGUGUGAAAGGCAGGAGCUCAACUCCUGGACUGCAUUGAGAACUGCAAAACUAGAGUCACUGAGGGGCAAUCAGAAUUCCAGGUGUAGGGGUGAAAUCUGUAGAUAUCUGGAAGAAUACCAAUGGCGAAAGCAGGUUGCCAGCAGAUGACUGACGCUGAGGUGCGAAGGUGCGGGGAGCAAACA
Molecule: ribosomal RNA, 207 nt
Filed under: uncultured bacterium
Lineage: Bacteria
Description: partial 16S ribosomal RNA
Rfam family: Bacterial small subunit ribosomal RNA
Source: RNAcentral